This 497-nucleotide ribosomal RNA is filed under the name uncultured bacterium. Its description in RNAcentral is "partial 16S ribosomal RNA". It matches the Rfam family "Bacterial small subunit ribosomal RNA", at positions 28 to 507 of the family's 1533-position model. The record is from RNAcentral.
GAUGAACGCUGGCGGCGUGCCUAAUACAUGCAAGUCGAGCGAACAGACGAGGAGCUUGCUCCUUUGAUGUUAGCGGCGGACGGGUGAGUUAAACGUGGGUAACCUACCUAUAAGACUGGGAUAACUUCGGGAAACCGGAGCUAAUACCGGACAACAUUUCGAUCGGCAUGGUUGGAUAGUGAAAGAUGGCUUUGCUAUCACUUAUAGAUGGACCUGCGCCGUUUUAUCUAGUUGGUACGCUAUCGGCUUACCACGGCAAGCGUACGUAGCCGACCUGAGAGGGUGAUCCGCCACACUGGAACUGAGACACGGUACAGACACCUACAGGAGGCAGAGGUAGGGAAUCGUCCGCAAUGGGCGAAAGCCUGACGGAUCAACGCCGCGCGAGUGAUGAAGGUCUUCGGACCGUAAGACUGUGUUAGGAGGGAAGACCGAACGUGUAAGUAACGGUGCACGUCUUGACGGUACCUAAUCAGAAAGCCACGGCUAACUACGUG